CAAUCUGUUCCUCUGCAUCAGAAUUGAGAAAAGGAAACUUAAAGACAAAAUGGACCAAAAAGGUACCUUGGAAAAACCAGCUUUGGCCAUGGAGUGCUAGUAAGAUCAUUUGGACCAAGGCAAGUGGGCCAGAAGAGAUUAGCAGCAACUUUUAUAAACAAAGAGGAAUAAAAGCAUUCCCAUUCUAGCAAUAGAAAUGGAGCCCAGAGGAAGAGGAAGAGACACCAGAGUUCUCUUUCUUUCCUCAUGCACACAUAGAAGAGAGACUGUGAGGACGCAGCAAGAGGAGAGCCAUCUACAAGUCGGGAAGAGAAGUCUCACCAGAAACCAACCCUGAGGGCGUCUUGAUCAUGGACUUCAGCUCCAGAGCUGAGAGAGGGUAAAUCCCUAUUGUUGAAGCCAACCAGUAUGUGAUAGCUCGUGACAGCUCUUGUUGACUAAGACGAAGAA
This is a long non-coding RNA of Lutra lutra (Eurasian river otter), 450 nucleotides long. RefSeq lists it as uncharacterized. The record is from RefSeq and is a predicted model, not a curated record. The transcript has 3 exons. NCBI's taxonomy places the organism in Eukaryota, Metazoa, Chordata, Mammalia, Carnivora, Mustelidae.